Molecule: long non-coding RNA, 273 nt
Organism: Arabidopsis thaliana (thale cress)
Lineage: Eukaryota; Viridiplantae; Streptophyta; Magnoliopsida; Brassicales; Brassicaceae
Product: other RNA
Exons: 1
Source: RefSeq
CCCUUUUUCCUCCACCGAUCUCUCUCAGUUUCUCGCCAGUCUAAGAACCAAGAUCUAAUAAGCUUUGGUAAAAUCAUGUGGUAAAAACAUUUGGCUAUGUUUUUGUUUCAUUGUUUUUUUCUGUUUCCAUCGCAAAUAUAUAGAGGAAGCUUUCCUGUUCCAAUAAUUUCUAGAAUAACUUUCUCUUUAAUUGUCGUGUCUUUUUCUUUCUAAUUAAUUACUGCGUCUAGUCCAGAAGUUUUGAUUUGAGUUGCUCUUGUUUGUUGGAGCUCA